This 495-nucleotide ribosomal RNA is filed under the name uncultured bacterium. RNAcentral's name for it is "bacterial SSU rRNA". It matches the Rfam family "Bacterial small subunit ribosomal RNA", at positions 791 to 1283 of the family's 1533-position model. The record is from RNAcentral.
UAGUCCACGCCGUAAACGAUGGAUACUAGCUGUCCGGGACCUUGAGUUCUGGGCGGCCAAGCGAAAGUGAUAAGUAUCCCACCUGGGGAGUACGUUCGCAAGAAUGAAACUCAAAGGAAUUGACGGGGGCCCGCACAAGCGGUGGAGCAUGUGGUUUAAUUCGAUGAUACGCGAGGAACCUUACCAGGGCUUAAAUGCAUAUUGACAGACUUAGAGAUAGGUUUUCCUUCGGGCAAUUUGCAAGGUGCUGCAUGGUUGUCGUCAGCUCGUGCCGUGAGGUGUCAGGUUAAGUCCUAUAACGAGCGCAACCCCUGCCGUUAGUUGCCAGCAUUUAAAGAUGGGGACUCUAGCGGGACUGCCGGUGCAAACCGUGAGGAAGGUGGGGAUGACGUCAAAUCAUCACGGGCCCUUAGUCCUGGGGCUACACACGUGCUACAAUGGGUCGGUACAGAGGGGCAGGCCACAUCGCGAGAUGGGAGCGGAAUCCUUAAAACC